GUCUUAUUGAUUAUAAUUUUAAGUCUAAUCUGCCCAGUGAUUUAUUAAAUGGCUGCAGUAUUUUAACUGUACAAAGGUAGCAUAAUAAUUAGUUUCUUAAUUAGAAACUGGAAUGAAAGAUUGAACGAGACAAUAACUGUCUUAAUUUGAAUUUAAGAAUUUUAUUUUUAAGUUAAAAAGCUUAAAUUUUUUUAAAAGACGAGAAGACCCUAUAGAAUUUUAUAUUAUUAUUAUAUUUAAAUUUUAGUAUAUAAAUUUUAAAUUUUUUUAAAGGUAUUUAGUUGGGGUGAUUGGAAAAUUUAUUUAACUUUUUUUAUUCUAAAUCAUUUAUUUAUGUUUUUUUGAUCCAAAAUUUUUGAUUAUAAGAUUAAAUUACCUUAGGGAUAACAGCGUAAUUUUUUUAGAGAGUUCUUAUCGAUAAAAGAGAUUGCGACCUCGAUGUUGGAUUAAAGUUAAUUUUUAAUGUAGAAGUUAAAAUAUUGGGUCUGUUCGACCUUUAAAACUUUACAUGAUCUGAGUUUAAAUCGGCGUGAGCCAGGUUGGAUUCUAUCUUUAAUAAGCUUUAAUAUUUUAGUACGAAAGGACCAAGUAUAAUUUAUAGUAAAUUUUAUAGAAUAAUAUUAUUGUUUUGGCAGAUUAGUGCUUUAAAUUUAGAAUUUAAAUAUGUGAUAUUUUUACAAAUAAUAAUGUUUAUAUUGGAUAUUUUAUUGUUUUUUCUUAGAUCUUUGUUAAUAAUUAUUUGUGUUUUAGUGGGAGUGGCUUUUUUAACGUUAUUAGAACGUAAGGUUCU
RNAcentral lists this ribosomal RNA (790 nucleotides) under Quaestus acuminatus. RNAcentral describes it as "partial large subunit ribosomal RNA". The stretch from base 1 to 577 matches the Rfam family "Bacterial large subunit ribosomal RNA", at positions 1830 to 2925 of the family's 2925-position model. The record is from RNAcentral. Lineage: Eukaryota; Metazoa; Arthropoda; Insecta; Coleoptera; Leiodidae.